AUGCUUGUUCUAUCCUGUGGGCCUGGCAGAUGGAAGCUUGGGAAUGAAGUAUGCAGUUCUCAACAAAAUCACAAAUUUGAAAUGCAAAGAUUUCAAAACACAGUUCAUGGGAAGUGCCCUCUGCUGUCCCACCUGGGAGAGGUUCUGGUUUCUUCUGGGUUGCAGAAAGGUGAAACUUUGUUGUUGACUUUACUUUCUGGCUGUUUGUCUUUCCUCUUCUGCACUGCUGCACCUAGCAAACCACUUCUCUGUUCCUCUUCCCUGACCCAUUUCCUAAGGCUGAGCCCUGCAUACUAGGCAGGAUCUCUGUGUGACACUGUUCUGACUUUUCUUCCUACAGGAUGUGAGCAAGACAGGACAGUGGAAAGGGUUGUCCUGUCUUCUGCUAUCCAGAUUUGUAGGACAUUUUUUUUGUUUCUCUCCUCCACAGAUAGGGAGGAGCCCCAGCCAGAGAGCAGUCUGUGUGCACUCCCAGUUUUAGGGCAUGGUACACAGCAGGAGAAAGCAAUGAGCAUUUAGCUAGAGUAGUGAGGAAUUCACACUUAUGCAGAUUAGUCUGUUCCUAAUUUCUGACUCAACAAUAAUGUUUGAUAGGAUCCAAAGCUGAACAUUUGCUCUUUAUUAGUUUCAAACAGUGAAGCAUUAGUGUCAGUCAGAAACUCCUUCCCCCUCCCCCCCCCCCCCCCCUUUUAGUAAUCAUAGUGUGAGAAAAGAGUUACUGUGAAUGCAGAGUCUGAAAAAAAGUCCAUCCAGAGAAAUAGUCUCAGUGUAAACUCAGUGCGAGAAGAUAGUGAUCCUUGUGUUUUAUGAACUCCUAACAUCAAGUGAUCUGUGGCCCAGAAAAUUCCAAAGCAAGAGGUGAUGGCUUCAUAUUUAGUAGCCCCAGACUGAGUAUUCUUCCAUGCAGUUCUCCAGAUGAUUUACAGAUUUAUCUACAUGUACAAAUCCACAAAUCUGAAAGCAGGUCCAGGGCUUCUGUAUGUGUUUUGGGAUAAAAUGGUGCCUCCUGUUUGUCUGACCUUGCUGUCUGCUAUUUGCAUUUGAUGUCUGUAUGUUUUUUGUGGCAGAAGAGACAAAAACUGUCCUUGUGAUGUAAAUCAUGUCUGCAGUGAACUGCAUACCAAAGAGAAAGCAAAAGAUAAUGAUCUAAGGGUUUUCUGUGGUGGAAGAGGAUAUAACACUCAUGUGUAUCUUAACUGCAUAUACACUUUGUAUAUGUGCACAUAUCUGAACAGUAUAUAUCUGAACUGUGAUGGACUUUGCCAAUACAAAGUACCGAUGAAAGUGGAUCCAAAUAAAUCUAACCCCUGUCUUUCA
This 1317-nucleotide long non-coding RNA is filed under the name Anas platyrhynchos platyrhynchos (common mallard). Its description in RNAcentral is "lncRNA (ENSAPLG00000019356.1)". Lineage: Eukaryota; Metazoa; Chordata; Aves; Anseriformes; Anatidae. The record is from RNAcentral.